AGCGUCGCGCGCCGGUCUCGGCGUGCAGCGCGAUCCUUCUAAAUGUCGAAACUUUACGACUCUCGGCAACGGAUAUCUUGGCUCUCGCAUCGAUGAAGAACGCAGCGAAAUGCGAUACUUGGUGUGAAUUGCAGAAUCCCGUGAACCAUCGAGUCUUUGAACGCAAGUUGCGC
Molecule: ribosomal RNA, 173 nt
Filed under: Peliosanthes sinica
Lineage: Eukaryota; Viridiplantae; Streptophyta; Magnoliopsida; Asparagales; Asparagaceae
Description: 5.8S ribosomal RNA
Rfam family: 5.8S ribosomal RNA (bases 58-173)
About the family: 5.8S ribosomal RNA (5.8S rRNA) is a component of the large subunit of the eukaryotic ribosome. It is transcribed by RNA polymerase I as part of the 45S precursor that also contains 18S and 28S rRNA.
Source: RNAcentral